CCAAGGCGAUCGAGAGAAUCGUGGUGAAGGAACUCGGCAAAAUACCCCCGUAACUUCGGGAUAAGGGGGACCUGAUUUGUGAAGGCACUUGCUGCCUGAGCAUUGAGGGUCGCAGAGACCAGGCCCAAGCGACUGUUUACUAAAAACACAGGUCCGUGCCAAGUUGAAAGACGAUGUAUACGGACUGACUCCUGCCCGGUGCUGGAAGGUUAAGGGGAAGUGUUAGGGCAACCGAAGCACUGAACUUAAGCCCCAGUAAACGGCGGUGGUAACUAUAACCAUCCUAAGGUAGCGAAAUUCCUUGUCGGGUAAGUUCCGACCUGCACGAAUGGAGUAACGAUUUGGGCGCUGUCUCCACCACGAACUCGGCGAAAUUGCACUACGAGUAAAGAUGCUCGUUACGCGCAGCAGGACGGAAAGACCCCGGGACCUUUACUAUAGUUUGGUAUUGGUGUUCGGUACGACUUGUGUAGGAUAGGUGGGAGACUUUGAAGCAUGGACGCCAGUUCGUGUGGAGUCGACGUUGAAAUACCACUCUGGUCGUUCUGGAUAUCUAACCUAGGUCCAUUAUCUGGAUCAGGGACAGUGCCUGAUGGGUAGUUUGACUGGGGCGGUCGCCUCCCAAAAUGUAACGGAGGCGCCCAAAGGUUCCCUCAGCCUGGUUGGCAAUCAGGUUUUGAGUGUAAGUGCACAAGGGAGCUUGACUGUGAGAGGGACACCUCAAGCAGGGACGAAAGUCGGGACUAGUGAUCUGACGGUGGCACGUGGAAGCGCCGUCACUCAACGGAUAAAAGGUACCCCGGGGAUAACAGGCUGAUCUUGCCCGAGCGUCCAUAGCGACGGCAUGGUUUGGCACCUCGAUGUCGGCUCGUCGCAUCCUGGGGCUGGAGUCGGUCCCAAGGGUUGGGCUGUUCGCCCAUUAAAGCGGCACGCGAGCUGGGUUUAGAACGUCGUGAGACAGUUCGGUCCCUAUCCGCUGCGCGCGUAGGAAUCUUGAGAGAGGCUGUCCUUAGUACGAGAGGACCGGGACGGACAAACCUCUGGUGUGCCAGUUGUUCUGCCAAGAGCACGGCUGGUUGGCUACGUUUGGAAGUGAUAACCGCUGAAAGCAUCUAAGCGGGAAGCACGUCUCAAGAUGAGGGUUCCCACAGAGUUAAUCUGGUAAGGCCCCCGGAAGACCACCGGGUUGAUAGGUCGGAUGUGGAAGUGCAGCAAUGCAUGGAGCUGACCGAUACUAAUAGGCCGAGGGCUUGUC
RNAcentral lists this ribosomal RNA (1255 nucleotides) under metagenome. RNAcentral's name for it is "bacterial LSU rRNA". It matches the Rfam family "Bacterial large subunit ribosomal RNA", at positions 1681 to 2925 of the family's 2925-position model. The record is from RNAcentral.